Non-coding RNA from Puccinia sorghi, 75 nucleotides. The record is from the annotation of a GenBank genome assembly. NCBI's taxonomy places the organism in Eukaryota, Fungi, Basidiomycota, Pucciniomycetes, Pucciniales, Pucciniaceae.
UUGUUGUUUGUUUUCAUUUAUUGCUCUAGAGGUCCUGUACAUACUUCUAGAGCAAUAAAUGAAAACAACCAGCAC